This 506-nucleotide ribosomal RNA is filed under the name uncultured bacterium. Its description in RNAcentral is "partial 16S ribosomal RNA". It matches the Rfam family "Bacterial small subunit ribosomal RNA", at positions 30 to 523 of the family's 1533-position model. The record is from RNAcentral.
AUUGAACGCUGGCGGCAGGCCUAACACAUGCAAGUCGAACGGUAACAGGAAACAGCUUGCUGUUUCGCUGACGAGUGGCGGACGGGUGAGUAAUGUCUGGGAAACUGCCUGAUGGAGGGGGAUAACUACUGGAAACGGUAGCUAAUACCGCACAACGUCGCAAGACCAAAGAGGGGGACCUUCGGGCCUCUUGCCAUCGGAUGUGCCCAGAUGGGAUUAGCUAGUAGGUGGGGUAACGGCUCACCUAGGAGACGAUCCCUAGCUGGUCUGAGAGGAUGACCAGCCACACUGGAACUGAGACACGGUCCAGACUCCUACGGGAGGCAGCAGUGGGGAAUAUUGCACAAUGGGCGCAAGCCUGAUGCAGCCAUGCCGCGUGUAUGAAGAAGGCCUUCGGGUUGUAAAGUACUUUCAGCGGGGAGGAAGGGAGUAAAGUCAAUACCUUUGCUCAUUGACGUUACCCGCAGAAGAAGCACCGGCUAACUCCGUGCCAGCAGCCGCAGUAA